AGUGAACGCUGGCGGCGUGCUUAACACAUGCAAGUCGAACGAUAAGCUUCUUUCGGGAAGUGGACAGUGGCGGACGGGUGAGUAACGCGUGGGAACCUGCCUUUUGGUUCAGAACAACAGUUGGAAACGACUGCUAAUACUGGAUAUUCCCUUAGGGGGAAAGAUUUAUCGCCAAGAGAUGGGCCCGCGUUAGAUUAGCUAAUUGGUAAGGUAAUGGCUUACCAAGGCUCCGAUCUAUAGCUGGUUUGAGAGGAUGAUCAGCCACACUGGGACUGAGACACGGCCCAG
This 288-nucleotide ribosomal RNA is filed under the name uncultured bacterium. RNAcentral's name for it is "partial 16S ribosomal RNA". It matches the Rfam family "Bacterial small subunit ribosomal RNA", at positions 29 to 334 of the family's 1533-position model. The record is from RNAcentral.